This 148-nucleotide non-coding RNA is filed under the name Homo sapiens (human). The record is from Rfam by way of RNAcentral. Lineage: Eukaryota; Metazoa; Chordata; Mammalia; Primates; Hominidae.
GCCAGGCGUGGUGGUGUAUGCCUGUAAUCCUAGCUACCUGGGAGGCUGAGGCAUGAGAAUCACUUGAACCCAGGAGAUGGAGGUUGCAGUGAGCCGAGAUCAUGCCACUGUACUCCAGCCUGGGCAACAGAGUGAGACUGUGUCUCAA